UGGGGAAUAUUGCACAAUGGGCGCAAGCCUGAUGCAGCCAUGCCGCGUGUAUGAAGAAGGCCUUCGGGUUGUAAAGUACUUUCAGCGGGGAGGAAUGGAGUAAAGUUAAUACCUUUGCUCAUUGACGUUACCCGCAGAAGAAGCACCGGCUAACUCCGUGCCAGCAGCCGCGGUAAUACGGAGGGUGCAAGCGUUAAUCGGAAUUACUGGGCGUAAAGCGCACGCAGGCGGUUUGUUAAGUCAGAUGUGAAAUCCCCGGGCUCAACCUGGGAACUGCAUCUGAUACUGGCAAGCUUGAGUCUCGUAGAGGGGGGUAGAAUUCCAGGUGUAGCGGUGAAAUGCGUAGAGAUCUGGAGGAAUAACGGUGGCGAAGGCGGCCCCCUGGACGAAGACUGACGCUCAGGUGCGAAAGCGUGGGGAGCAAACAGG
Molecule: ribosomal RNA, 429 nt
Filed under: Chloroflexota bacterium
Lineage: Bacteria; Bacillati; Chloroflexota
Description: Chloroflexi bacterium partial 16S ribosomal RNA
Rfam family: Bacterial small subunit ribosomal RNA
Source: RNAcentral